UGUGUGUGUGUGUGUGUGUGUCUUUCAUAGACAAAGAGAGUAUUACUAUGAUAAGAUUAACUGUUGAUUCUUAACACCAUCCUUCAUAAAACCAGUCCAGUAGAAAUUGCAAUGUCUAUUAAUUCUAUAUCACUUUGUUGUAAAUGCUGUCAAUUAUUGAGUAUUACUGUCAUAGGAUUAACAGUGCCACAUAAAAUCAUCUCUCUCACCCAUAACCCCAUAAUUAUUGAGUAUUGCUGCAAUAGAAUUAAGCAUAGACUCAACACCCAAUAAAGUCACCCAUACUCAAUAAAAUGACUUCUCUCACUCACCCAUAACCUAUAAUUACUGAGUAUUAUGGAGAGAGAAUUAACCAUAAGCUGUGAACACUUUGCCCCAUAGAAACAGCUGUCUCACUCACCCAUAACUCAUAACCAUUAACCUAACCUAACAACCUACAGACUAACCUGCUUCUUUCCCCUUGCCUUCCUUCCCACUCACCUCUGCCACUUCUUCUUACUGCCUCACUCACCCAUAACUCAUAACCAUUAACCUAACUUAACUAACUACAGACUAACCUGCUUCUUUCCCCCUCGCCUUCUCUCACUCACCUCCUCACUCACCCAUAACUGUCCUCCAUCAGUCAAGAAGCACAAGAACGAUGCUGUCUCGGAAGCAGAGCAGUGUUGGCAACUGCUGCGUUCAGGGAGGUACUCGGAGUUCAACUUUGUGUACUAUCGAGGCACCAAGUUUGGAUUUGCUACGCCCAACGCCAGGAUUGAGAGUAUCUUGAUGUCUCUUCCCCUUCAUGCUAGGUGGGAGUACAUGCACCAGCCAGCGCCAGGCACACCGGAGUACAAGAUCACAGAGGUGCUUAAGAAUCAGAAGGACUGGGUGUAGCCAGCAACUGUGAAGCAACUGUGAGGGAGCCAACCUGCUCACCCUUUCACUGAGACUUACCACUGACACCACUAAAGCUUGUGCAGUUCUUAGGAGCAUCAAGCUUUAGAGGUCCAGCGGCACACUGCACACUGCUUGCAUAAACGUGUGCAGAGUGCAAGACAGAGAGGGGCAAGGAUGAAGGAUGCUUCAAGACAGAGAGGGGCAAGGAUGGAGGAUGCUUCAAGACAGAGAGGGGCAAGGAUGGAGGAUGCUUCAAGACAGAGAGUGGCAAGGAUGGAGGAUGCUUCAAGACAGAGUGUGGUAAGGAUGGAGGAUGCUUCAAGACAGAGAGUGGGGAUAUCCUCUACGAGUGGCAGCCUUGGAGUAGCCAAGAAUUAAGGCGCGUACACACGCCGUCCUCUCUGGGCUGCUAGUGUGGGUGAUAGCCGGUGGUGGCGGUGUACCAGGCCUCCUAAUGGUUUCCGCCUCAUGGUACACCUGGUGAGUGCGUUGUGACACGGCUCUCCGCGCCCGCGCCUUCACCUCCUGCCGGCUGGCUGGGCGGCACGUGCCUGAUGAUGGCGGGGCCUAAGCGGCACUUCGUCUGGCAGCUUCGUCAGCGGCCAUAUGACUGGGGAUCCAGUGUAGCAUGACUCGCCUCCCCUGCUCACCAAAGUUCUACAGGUUGCCCACUAUGGAGGAAUUUGUUUCCCUAGAAAAAAAAUAUAUAGCAC
Molecule: long non-coding RNA, 1595 nt
Organism: Portunus trituberculatus (swimming crab)
Lineage: Eukaryota; Metazoa; Arthropoda; Malacostraca; Decapoda; Portunidae
Exons: 5
Source: RefSeq, a predicted model, not a curated record